Oncorhynchus tshawytscha (Chinook salmon) is the source of this 1027-nucleotide long non-coding RNA. The record is from Ensembl. Lineage: Eukaryota; Metazoa; Chordata; Actinopteri; Salmoniformes; Salmonidae.
GGACACACAGCCAUAGUGUUUACAUGUUGUGUUCACCAUCAUUUCUCUUCCCUUAGUCCAAAAUGGCCACCUAUUUCCUAUCAAGAGCACUGCUCUGUUCAAAAGCAGUGCUCUAUAUAAGGAAUAGGGUGCCAUUUGGGACACACAUUAACAACCUCAACUCAGGCAACAUCAGGGACAUCCUCCAAACAGGGCCCUUCUCCUGACAUGAUCACAAAACUCCAUCUCCCAUCAUUCUUUGCCAACUUUUUUUUUUGUUGUUGUUGUAAACAGUCCAUCAUAAUAAUAACAACAUUAAUCCUAUCUAGAGAAAUCAUUUGAGAAGGAAAAAAAAUAUAAUAUCUGUUUCCAAAUUACACCCUUAUUCCCCCAUUAUUAGGGCACUUAUUUUAAAAAGUACUGCACUAUUUUGAAGAAUAGGGUGUAAUUUGAGGCCUUCCUCAUGUCCGACUAUUGUAAAGGUCAACAUCAAAGGCUGGUGUCGUAAUAAAACACAUUACAAUGUCAAAACGUGUUCAAAUGAACGACAAAAAGGUUUUGUUGAAAGCUCGUCUUCUCUACAUGUCGAAGGUAGUGGGGUCCAUGUUAUGACGUGCUGCCCAAGAACCAAAACACCUCUUCCCUCUACAGUCUACAACCAACAGAUCACUAUUAGGACUCUACUGGCACCCUAUUCCCUAGGUAGUGCACUACUUUCGACCAGGGUGCCAUAGUGACUAGGGUGCCAUUUGGGAUACAUCCUAUGCUUCUGUCCUGGCCAAAGAACAGCAUGACAACCUUUUCAUAUUACCAGACCGAGAGGUUUUCCCUGACCUCAUGACCUGACCAUGUGACCUGACCAGGAAAACCUCACAGAAGGAAAAAGGCUGGAACGUGGUUGAGAAGGGAACGUGGGUGAGAAGGGAACGUGGGUGGGUGAGAAGGGAACGUGGGUGGUUGAGAAGGGAACGUGGGUGAGAAGGGAACGUGGGUGAAAAUGCUACCUGUAUAAAAUUAAGACUCCUCUCCACUUACGCAUCAUCAGGCA